UACACUAUCUUUGAUAACAAAGAGCACUGAGAGAAUUUUUGAAAUUAGUCUUUCUCCUUUGGUUGUUUUUUAUCAUUCAUGUCUUCUGAGCCUCCGUUUUUCCACAGAAUAAUUCCUAAUGCUUGGAACACCCACCAGUGUAACAAGAAUAAGUCCUUAACCUUAACACUGCCUCAGAACCAUGGUGGUUCUGAUGAUCACUUGCCACUAUACCAUUUUAAUGCAACUGAGAAGGAAAAACUAGACUACAACCCCAAGAAAAUUCCCUUAAAUCUGUUACCAAAAAUUGUUUGUCUAACUUUUGCUGCUUUGGGGUAUCAAACGAUCACAUCCCAAGACCAACCUUGUAUUCUUGGACCUGCUAUAGUGAUUGCUUUUGUAGCUUCACUCUCUGUGGUGUUAUUUUCAAACAAUGAUACCAUAACCCGUUCCUACCCACGGCUUGCAGCUAUUGUUGAGCUAAUUGGGUAUCUCUCUUUCACACUCAGUUUCUUGGUAAUGAUAAGAGUUUUCUUCUCUGGAAAUUUGAUCUUGUGGAUUAUCAUAGGAGGGUUGGCUAUGGGUUGGAUCAUGCUAAUCCUCCUUAUACGCUUAUUUACAUGAAGCUUGUCCCUCUACUGGUGAAUCAAUUAGGGUCAAGGACCCAUUAUGGGAUAAAUGUGAGCUCAGGAGCGAUGAAUAAAUCCUUUCAUCACUCCUCAUUACUCCCGAGCUCACAUUUAUUUCAAAAUGAGUCUAACUGGAUCCUACAAAAUCAACUUAUAAGAUGAGGAUUAUCUUCACUUAUAUAUUCUACUUUGACUAUAUUACUAGGCGAGGUAAGAUCUCCAAUGCAGCCAAGAAUUAAACAUCUUAAAUGAGAAGUUUGCAUAGCUUACACAUGUGUAGAAGAUUCGAUAACAUGUGAUACUAUAGGUCCAACCAUUAUAGUUACAUAGAUUGUGGUACUAUUCGGUGCUUGUUACGGUACAGGUUUGGUACAUGUACGCGACCUUGAAAAGAUUUGGUGCGUGGGAAUAUGCAUGUCGGUACGUUAUUUAAAUUUUAUCAUUUAUUUUUCUCUUAAAAAACCAGUAUAAUUUUUCAAUUACAAAUUAAUUAAUAGAUUGAUUUUAUUUUUUUUAUGUUUCUAAAAAAUAUAAGUUAGUUUACUCUGAUAAGAAAGUUAAGACAGCUUGAUUGUUUAUCUGGUUUGCCUCAAUUUGGUCCCUAUUGGCUGCAUAGAAAUUGCGUUAUCUUCAAAAAAUGAGGGUCCUAACGGUGAACGUACUUGUGUUUGUUUUGAUUGAAUUUAGAGCUUGGUCUUAACUGUCCAAUAAAAUGAAAGGCUUUUCCUUUUUUCUUUUAUGAAUGGUCAAUUAUCGAACCCUUGGAGUGUUUCAAGUGCUUGUAGGUGUGUGAUCUGAACAGAGAAGUAUGUAAUAUAGGUUGUAGUAGUCGAUGCAUGUUUCUGUCAUGCCUUUUUAAGUAAGCAGCAUUUGAUGUAUGCACCAACUCAUUUUUUUCCUUUUAGGUGGGUGGACAAGUGCUAAGGCAUUAAGGUGGGCAGGGAGGUGUUAAGGUAUUAGGAAAUUGGUUGGAUGUUGAUAUGUUGUCAUGUAAAAGGGUUCCUCUUGUAUCCAUACCUAAUAAAACUUAAUUUGGUUGACAAAGAAAAAAAAAAACAUGAGUUCGGAUUUAAUCCUGAAUUAAUAUCAUAUAUAGGUACAACAUAGAUCAAUCAUAAGAAACCAUUCGUAUUUUAUACUUCAAUGGCUGUUACCUGGUAGCUAUUAGCCAUAAUCCGUGUUGGGUUAACUACAAAUAGGUAAUGGUAGAACAGAGCCUCUAUGAAUGUAUUCUUAACCUUAAUAUGGUUCACACAAUCACACCACACAAGAAAGUAAAAUAGCCUACGUAUUCCACUUUCUUGAAGUCUUGUUACAAGACACAGCUAUUUAUGCCUAGUCAAAAUGGAUCUUGUAGCUGUAACCAUUCAACGGCAACCUCAGCUUGGCUUCCAACACACAAGUUUUCGUCUAGCCUGCUUCUGGAAGUAAUCAAGUAACUAUCACUUACUAGGUUGAUUUUGUUAAUGAUCUGCUGAAUCUAAUAACAUGGCAACCUGUGAAGUAUUUGAAUCUGUUAUGAGACAUAUUAAGUCACUAUUUCAAUGUACUUAAUUGAAGUUUACAUAGAAUAAACAAAUUGGAUUGAAAAUUGAGGGACAUAUUACUCAUAGGUCCGAAAAUUUUCAUUCCUCUUCAUUUUUUGUCAUGUAGCACACCCUUGUAUUUGCAGUCAAGUGCAACUGUGAACUUAUUAGGAUUA
Long non-coding RNA from Glycine soja, 2310 nucleotides. RefSeq lists it as uncharacterized. The transcript has 2 exons. The record is from RefSeq and is a predicted model, not a curated record. Lineage: Eukaryota; Viridiplantae; Streptophyta; Magnoliopsida; Fabales; Fabaceae.